RNAcentral lists this ribosomal RNA (204 nucleotides) under uncultured bacterium. Its description in RNAcentral is "partial 16S ribosomal RNA". It matches the Rfam family "Bacterial small subunit ribosomal RNA", at positions 28 to 233 of the family's 1533-position model. The record is from RNAcentral.
GACGAACGCUGGCGGCGUGCUUAACACAUGCAAGUCGAGCGGUAAGGCCCUUUCGGGGGUACACGAGCGGCGAACGGGUGAGUAACACGUGGGUGACCUGCCCUCAGCUCUGGGAUAAGCCUGGGAAACUGGGUCUAAUACCGGGUAUGACUCCAUGACGCAUGUUGUGGGGUGGAAAGCCUUGUGCGGCUAGGGAUGGGCCCG